Molecule: ribosomal RNA, 468 nt
Filed under: uncultured bacterium
Lineage: Bacteria
Description: partial 16S ribosomal RNA
Rfam family: Bacterial small subunit ribosomal RNA
Source: RNAcentral
GACGAACGCUGGCGGCGUGCUUAACACAUGCAAGUCGAACGGAAAGGCCCUGCUUUUGUGGGGUGCUCGAGUGGCGAACGGGUGAGUAACACGUGAGUAACCUGCCCUUGACUUUGGGAUAACUUCAGGAAACUGGGGCUAAUACCGGAUAGGAGCUCCUGCUGCAUGGUGGGGGUUGGAAAGUUUCGGCGGUUGGGGAUGGACUCGCGGCUUAUCAGCUUGUUGGUGGGGUAGUGGCUUACCAAGGCUUUGACCGGUAGCCGGCCUGAGAGGGUUACCGGCCACGUUGGGACGGAGAUACGGCCCAGACUCCUACGGGAGGCAGCAGUGGGGAGUAGUGCACAGUGGGCGGAGGCCUGAUGCAACAACGCCGCGUGCGGGAUGACGGCCUUCGGGUUGUAAACCGCUUUCGCCUGUGACGAAGCGUGAGUGACGGUAAUGGGUAAAGAAGCACCGGCUAACUACGUG